This 450-nucleotide ribosomal RNA is filed under the name uncultured bacterium. Its description in RNAcentral is "partial 16S ribosomal RNA". It matches the Rfam family "Bacterial small subunit ribosomal RNA", at positions 354 to 796 of the family's 1533-position model. The record is from RNAcentral.
GUGGGGAAUAUUGGACAAUGGGCGAAAGCCUGAUCCAGCCAUGCCGCGUGUGUGAAGAAGGUCUUCGGAUUGUAAAGCACUUUAAGUUGGGAGGAAGGGCAGUAAGUUAAUACCUUGCUGUUUUGACGUUACCGACAGAAUAAGCACCGGCUAACUUCGUGCCAGCAGCCGCGGUAAUACGAAGGGAGCAAGCGUUAAUCGGAAUUACUGGGCGUAAAGAGCGCGUAGGUGGUUUUGUAAGUUGGAGGUGAAAUCCCCGGGCUCAACCUGGGAACUGCCUCCAAAACUGCAUGACUAGAGUACGGUAGAGGGUAGUGGAAUUUCCUGUGUAGCGGUGAAAUGCGUAGAUAUAGGAAGGAACACCAGUGGCGAAGGCGACUACCUGGACUGAUACUGACACUGAGGUGCGAAAGCGUGGGGAGCAAACAGGAUUAGAAACCCGGGUAGUCC